Scatophagus argus is the source of this 832-nucleotide long non-coding RNA. RefSeq lists it as uncharacterized. Lineage: Eukaryota; Metazoa; Chordata; Actinopteri; Scatophagidae. The record is from RefSeq and is a predicted model, not a curated record. The transcript is spliced from 4 exons.
CAUGGACAUGAGAAUCAUGGACAUGAGAGUCACGGACAGGAGAGUCAUGGACAUGAGAGUCAUGGACAUGAGACUCACGGACAUGAGAAUCAUGGACACGAGACUCAUGGACAUGAGAGUCAUGGACAUGAGACUCACGAACAGGAGAGUCAUGGACAUGAGAAUCAUGGACACGAGACUCAUGGACAUGAGACUAAUGGACACAAGACUCAUCGCCAUGAGACAACAAUCUCAUCUAAGCUCAGGGAAGAAAGGCAGGAGCAUAAAGUGACAAAUGUUGUUUGUCAGUCUCCCACAAGUCUGAGGGACACGUAGAUGAGACUCAAGGCCACAAAACAACUGCAUCUGAGCACAGGGAGGAAGAGCAGAAAGUCUCCCACAACUUUGAGGGACACCAACAUGGGAUUCAUGUCCACAAAACAGCAGGCUCAUCUGGACAUGGGCACAAAAGGGAGGAGGAGGAGGAGCAUAAAGGUAUAGUAACGGAAAUUAUCUUUUAGCUUUAUAGACUGUAGUGACAGAAACUUUCAUUGCAACUUAAACUGGGCAGCUGACUGUAUGGCACAAAAUGCCCCCUGAAAACUGGAAACAGCAGACUUACAUCCCAGUUUUUGCUGGUUAUGGUAAUGACAGUUGUGGUAUUUCAGUCUCUCACAAGCCUGAAGGACAUGGACAUGAGACUCACAGCCACAGAACAAUAAGCUCCUCUGGACAUGGGCAGGAUAGGUUGGAGGAGCAUGAAGUCUCCCACAAGUCUGAGGGACAUGGACAUGAGACCCACGCCCAUAGAACAAUAACCUCCUCUGGACAUGGGUGGGAAAGGGAGCAUGAA